Molecule: ribosomal RNA, 527 nt
Filed under: Staphylococcus casei
Lineage: Bacteria; Bacillati; Bacillota; Bacilli; Caryophanales; Staphylococcaceae
Description: bacterial SSU rRNA
Rfam family: Bacterial small subunit ribosomal RNA
Source: RNAcentral
GCUCAGGAUGAACGCUGGCGGCGUGCCUAAUACAUGCAAGUCGAGCGAACGGAUAAGGAGCUUGCUCCUUUGAAGUUAGCGGCGGACGGGUGAGUAACACGUGGGUAACCUACCUAUAAGACUGGAAUAACUUCGGGAAACCGGAGCUAAUGCCGGAUAACAUAUAGAACCGCAUGGUUCUAUAGUGAAAGAUGGUUUUGCUAUCACUUAUAGAUGGACCCGCGCUGUAUUAGCUAGUUGGUAAGGUAAUGGCUUACCAAGGCGACGAUACAUAGCCGACCUGAGAGGGUGAUCGGCCACACUGGAACUGAGACACGGUCCAGACUCCUACGGGAGGCAGCAGUAGGGAAUCUUCCGCAAUGGGCGAAAGCCUGACGGAGCAACGCCGCGUGAGUGAUGAAGGUUUUCGGAUCGUAAAACUCUGUUAUUAGGGAAGAACAAAUGCGUAAGUAACUGUGCGCAUCUUGACGGUACCUAAUCAGAAAGCCACGGCUAACUACGUGCCAGCAGCCGCGGUAAUACGUAGG